Long non-coding RNA from Neofelis nebulosa (Clouded leopard), 537 nucleotides. RefSeq lists it as uncharacterized. The record is from RefSeq and is a predicted model, not a curated record. Lineage: Eukaryota; Metazoa; Chordata; Mammalia; Carnivora; Felidae. The transcript is spliced from 2 exons.
CAGGAAUUACUUGUAACUCCGGGAGGAGGCUCUGGGAGGGAAGUGGAAGAUAAAGAAUCGUAGUAUCUACACAGAAUAGUUUGGAAAAUGAGGGGGCAGGCAAAUCAAUGUGAAAUUAAUUAAAAGGAGGAGUUGAAAAUCACUUUCUUGUGAAGUCCUAGUCCUAAAACUAGGAAUCUUCAGCACGAUGUGCCUGCCUUGAGACACCGACAAAAAUGCGAGAACACUGAUGCAUUCUAAAGUCAAGCAGAUACCUGGCUGCCGGCAAGAUGCUCUCAGGGUGAAAACUUUACAUGACUAUGUGUUCUCUUCAGAAAGAGUAUUACCAAUACAAAUGCCUUCCUUCAUGUGUGCCCCACUGGAAAAGGAAACAGGUUGAGAACACCUCCAAUACGUCCCUGUUACGGAGUCUAUUACUACAUCAUGAUGUACUCUGGUUCCAUAACAGGACACAUCUCAACACCAGCAUCUCAGCAGUGGGAAGACAGAGAGAAUUUGCCACUCCAUGUGGCAAAUAAAGGCUUUCGCUCCAUUGUU